UACCUGCAGCUCGAGUGGUAACCGCUAUUAUUGGGCCUAAAGCGUCCGUAGCCGGUUUGGUAAAUAUCUGGGUAAAUCGUGAGGCUUAACUUCACGAAUUUCGGAUAGACUGCCAGACUUGGGAUCGGGGGAGGUCAGAGGUACUCCAGGGGUAGCGGUGAAAUGUUGUAAUCCUUGGAGGACCACCGGUAGCGAAGGCGUCUGACUAGAACGAGUCCGACGGUGAGGGACGAAGCCCUGGGGGCGCAAACCGGGAUUAGAUACCCGGGUAGUCCAGGGUGUAAACGAUGUGGGCUUUGUAUUGGAGGUCCCACGUGGGCGUCCAGUGCAGAAGAGAAGUUGUUAAGCCCACCGCCUGGGAAGUACGGUCGCAAGGCUGAAACUUAAAGGAAUUGGCGGGGGAGCACAGCAACGGGAGGAGCGUGCGGUUU
This 431-nucleotide ribosomal RNA is filed under the name uncultured archaeon. RNAcentral's name for it is "bacterial SSU rRNA". It matches the Rfam family "Archaeal small subunit ribosomal RNA", at positions 474 to 903 of the family's 1478-position model. The record is from RNAcentral.